AGUGAACGCUGGCGGUAGGCCUAACACAUGCAAGUCGAACGGCAGCACAGUAAGAGCUUGCUCUUACGGGUGGCGAGUGGCGGACGGGUGAGGAAUACAUCGGAAUCUACUUUUUCGUGGGGGAUAACGUAGGGAAACUUACGCUAAUACCGCAUACGACCUACGGGUGAAAGCAGGGGAUCUUCGGACCUUGCGCGAUUGAAUGAGCCGAUGUCGGAUUAGCUAGUUGGCGGGGUAAAGGCCCACCAAGGCGACGAUCCGUAGCUGGUCUGAGAGGAUGAUCAGCCACACUGGAACUGAGACACGGUCCAGACCCCUACGGGAGGCAGCAGUGGGGAAAAUUGGACAAUGGGCGCAAGCCUGAUCCAGCCAUACCGCGUGGGUGAAGAAGGCCUUCGGGUUGUAAAGCCCUUUUGUUGGGAAAGAAAAGCAGCAGGUUAAUACCCCGCUGUUCUGACGGUACCCAAAGAAUAAGCACCGGCUAACUUCGUG
This 492-nucleotide ribosomal RNA is filed under the name uncultured bacterium. Its description in RNAcentral is "partial 16S ribosomal RNA". It matches the Rfam family "Bacterial small subunit ribosomal RNA", at positions 29 to 507 of the family's 1533-position model. The record is from RNAcentral.